This is a long non-coding RNA of Dicentrarchus labrax (European seabass), 636 nucleotides long. RefSeq lists it as uncharacterized. The transcript is spliced from 2 exons. The record is from RefSeq and is a predicted model, not a curated record. NCBI's taxonomy places the organism in Eukaryota, Metazoa, Chordata, Actinopteri, Moronidae.
UGUUCACUACCGAAGCAGCAGUACAACGUAACAAUCACGUCUAUGUGUCUUCUACGGAAAUUCAGAAUCUGAAUUUUUGAAGGUUUGAUCAAAAUAUAUUUCUCCUCUGUGUUUGUGAACAGAACAGGUGAAAUGAAGGUUUUUGCCAGGAUAAUUUUUCUAAGUUUCUGCUACAAGAGUACUACCCCAUGUAAAACAGGACUAAAGGCAUUCAUGUUUUCUUACAGCGAGACACAGAGUACACUCUUCUGCUCCUGAGAGGCGACUUGCCAUGGUUGAGUGUCAUUGAGGAACCUGCUCAGAGUGUGUGACGGCUGUGGAUUGUCACAGAGGCCCAGCAGACGGUGAGAUGGUACAGCGGGGCUUAUGAUCACACCAAGGCUCUGCCUCGUCGGCCACACCACUGCCUAACACCGCUCACAUCUCCUCAGGCACUCACCUCUGAGAGCCGUGCUUACUUUCAAUGCAAAGGAUGAAACUUGAGAAUACUGUCACGAUAAAAGCUUUUUAAUGUCAUAUUUCGUGCCUUAACUGUGGAAAAGUAUGGUUUUUCAUGUAACAAAAAAUAUAAAUUUUUCACUGCAUGUGUUUUUAUAUUUUCCUUGUGCACCUUGAAUAAAAAGUAUGUUGCCUUUG